UCAUCACAGCCUGGUUGCCCGGGUGCCUGGGACCUUCAAAGCCGCAGCCCUGCUGCAGCCAGCAGCCAAGGUCAUCAAAGAGGGAGAAGACAUCAGGCAGAUGAGGCAGCCCGGAGGCUACUACCCGUCUUGAGGCACUGAUGAUCCACCUCCUGUGAGCAGAUGGAGGUCAAGAGUGGCAGCUGAAAACCAGGCCAAAGAGGCCGAACAGAGGCAUCUUCAGAGCAAUAAUACCAAAAAGUCAACUAAGAAAAAACUCUGGCCAG
Long non-coding RNA from Gymnogyps californianus (California condor), 266 nucleotides. RefSeq lists it as uncharacterized. Lineage: Eukaryota; Metazoa; Chordata; Aves; Accipitriformes; Cathartidae. The record is from RefSeq and is a predicted model, not a curated record. The transcript has 3 exons.